GAAACCAGGAGAAGUUUUAUGGAACAGCAUAUUCAUUGCCAAGAAUAACUGAAAAAUAAAGGCUGUAGUCCAGUUUUUCUCCUGUUUCCUUAAGACCAUUAUUGAUUUAUCAUGUAUGAAUCUAUUCAAACUAGUACUUUCAACCUUUAUUAGCACUUGGAAUAUUCUUAAUUUCUUGGAGCUAGUUGAUUUUUUAUAAAACACUAAAGUAGCAUUUCAUUUGAUUUUUAAAUUUAUCUAAAUAUUAUACUUGUCUGUUCUUUCACUUCUCUCUCCUUCUAGCUUUGUUUUCUUGCUUUAGCCAUGAAUAUAACAUCAUAAUUGUCUAUUAUUUCUAAAAUCAUUGUAUAUUCCAGUUUUGUAUGUUUAUUUUGUUAGCUGCAAAUACCAUCAGAUGAAAAACUUGAGGAAUUUUGGAUUGAUUUUAAUCUUGGGAGUCAGACUCUCUCAUUCUACAUUGCUGGAGAUAAUGAUGAUCAUCAAUGGGAAGCAGUUACUGUGCCAGAGGAAAAAGUACAAAUAUACAGCAUUGAAGUGAGAGAAUCAAAGAAGCUACUGACAAUAAUUCUGAAAAAUACAGUAAAAAUUAGCAAAAGAGAAGGGAAAGAAUUGCUUUUGUAUUUUGAUGCAUCACUAGAAAUCACUAAUGUAACUCAAAAAAUUUUUGGUGCAAAUAAACAUAGGGAAUCUAUCAGAAAACAAGGUAUUUCAGUUGCCAAAACGUCG
Molecule: small RNA, 726 nt
Filed under: Pan troglodytes (chimpanzee)
Lineage: Eukaryota; Metazoa; Chordata; Mammalia; Primates; Hominidae
Description: retained intron
Source: RNAcentral